CGCUGGCGGCAUGCCUUACACAUGCAAGUCGAACGGAAGCACGGAGCUUGCUCCCUGAUUCAGCGGCGGACGGGUGAGUAAUGCCUAGGAAUCUGCCUGGUAGUGGGGGACAACGUCUCGAAAGGGACGCUAAUACCGCAUACGUCCUACGGGAGAAAGUGGGGGAUCUUCGGACCUCACGCUAUCAGAUGAGCCUAGGUCGGAUUAGCUAGUUGGUGAGGUAAUGGCUCACCAAGGCGACGAUCCGUAACUGGUCUGAGAGGAUGAUCAGUCACACUGGAACUGAGACACGGUCCAGACUCCUACGGGAGGCAGCAGUGGGGAAUAUUGGACAAUGGGCGAAAGCCUGAUCCAGCCAUGCCGCGUGUGUGAAGAAGGUCUUCGGAUUGUAAAGCACUUUAAGUUGGGAGGAAGGGCAUUAACCUAAUACGUUAGUGUUUUGACGUUACCGACAGAAUAAGCACCGGCU
Molecule: ribosomal RNA, 469 nt
Filed under: uncultured bacterium
Lineage: Bacteria
Description: bacterial SSU rRNA
Rfam family: Bacterial small subunit ribosomal RNA
Source: RNAcentral